Daucus carota subsp. sativus is the source of this 305-nucleotide non-coding RNA. NCBI's taxonomy places the organism in Eukaryota, Viridiplantae, Streptophyta, Magnoliopsida, Apiales, Apiaceae. The record is from Rfam.
GCUGGGUCUGGUAGCGCAGGCCUGUAACCCAAGUGGGAGCCAUAAGAUGGUUGGAGGUUGGAUUGGGCCAGAAGGUUGGGCUAGCAUGGGGUUAUACACUGGCCUGCCCAUUCCAAGUAGGGAGCAGGGUCAUGGGCUUUGGGCGAAAGCCAGGAGUUCAUUUCCCCUAAAGAGGAGGGCAUUGCGCUAGGCUGGCUUCACAGAGCAGCGAACACUUCCCUCUCCUGUCGGUGGAAGGAUAACAAGUCGGUUCUUCACUAGUCCAUCAAACACCGGAUGGGUCAUUCGACCAUACAACCAUCUUU